RNAcentral lists this long non-coding RNA (619 nucleotides) under Lonchura striata (white-rumped munia). Its description in RNAcentral is "domestica (Bengalese finch) lncRNA (ENSLSDG00000016852.1)". The record is from RNAcentral. Lineage: Eukaryota; Metazoa; Chordata; Aves; Passeriformes; Estrildidae.
ACCAUCCAUCUCAGGCACAACCCCUUCAAGUUUCCUACCUAUAUCAGCCAAAUAGAGUGAUUCAAAUCAAGGUUUUGGCUGGAAAAUCCCAGAAAUGCAAAUUAUCUCAGCUUUCUGCUUCUUCCAGUGUGUCUUUAUGGGUCCAAAUCAGUCUUAACCCUGCAGAAAUACAGACAUUUCCGUGUGAUUCCACAUGCAGGACUGGUCAGUAUAAAGCAAAUAAGUGACACUCGUGGAUGUUGGAUCAUGUGUCAUCUUGUUGGAUGUGCCUCCAGAUUUGAUGAGAAUGUCACCAUGAAUGUCCAUUGGCAAACUGGAUAAGAAAGAGUGUCACAGUGCAGGACAACCUAGAAGAUGACAGCUACAGCACAAGGUUCCCUGACAAUGUAUGACAGCAUGUGACAGAAAAAUAUUUUGAUUUUUUUUUCUUUUUUGGUCAUUUGAUGCUAUUUGAGAUAAAUCUGAAGCCCCAGCAGCAGCUGAUAAAUCUACCAAACUACUUUAGCAGAGGUUUUUACCUAUUCACAAUUGAACUGGAGGGUCUGGGGUGUGUGUUCGUGUGUUUGUAGUGGAAUCCAAACAAGAAAGCUGGGAAAUGAUCUAAACCCUUUGAGGUUAA